GUGAGGUAAUGGCUCACCAAGGCUUCGACGGGUAGCUGGUCUGAGAGGACGAUCAGCCACACUGGGACUGAGACACGGCCCAGACUCCUACGGGAGGCAGCAGUGGGGAAUCUUGCGCAAUGGGCGAAAGCCUGACGCAGCGACGCCGCGUGGGGGAUGAAGGCCUUAGGGUCGUAAACCCCUUUCAGCAGGGACGAAAAUGACGGUACCUGCAGAAGAAGCCCCGGCCAACUACGUGCCAGCAGCCGCGGUAAGACGUAGGGGGCGAGCGUUGUCCGGAAUUAUUGGGCGUAAAGGGCUCGUAGGUGGUUCGGUAAGUCAGAUGUGAAAACUCAGGGCUCAACCCUGAGACGCCAUCUGAUACUGCUGUGACUUGAGUUCGGUAGAGGAGUGUGGAAUUCCUGGUGUAGCGGUGAAACGCGCAGAUAUCAGGAGGAACACCUACGGCGAAGGCAGCACUCUGGGCCGAAACUGACGCUGAGGAGCGAAAGCGUGGGUAGCAAACAGGAUUAGAUACCCUGGUAGUCCACGCCGUAAACGGUGGGCACUAGGUGUGGGGCCUUAUCAACGGGUUCCGUGCCGAAGCUAACGCAUUAAGUG
This 600-nucleotide ribosomal RNA is filed under the name uncultured Actinomycetes bacterium. Its description in RNAcentral is "bacterial SSU rRNA". It matches the Rfam family "Bacterial small subunit ribosomal RNA", at positions 252 to 866 of the family's 1533-position model. The record is from RNAcentral. Lineage: Bacteria; Bacillati; Actinomycetota; Actinomycetes.